This 77-nucleotide transfer RNA is filed under the name Luteitalea sp. Its description in RNAcentral is "tRNA-Pro". It matches the Rfam family "tRNA". From Rfam's summary of the family: Transfer RNA (tRNA) molecules are approximately 80 nucleotides in length. Their secondary structure includes four short double-helical elements and three loops (D, anti-codon, and T loops). Further hydrogen bonds mediate the characteristic L-shaped molecular structure. tRNAs have two regions of fundamental functional importance: the anti-codon, which is responsible for specific mRNA codon recognition, and the 3' end, to which the tRNAs corresponding amino acid is attached (by aminoacyl-tRNA synthetases). tRNAs cope with the degeneracy of the genetic code in two manners: having more than one tRNA (with a specific anti-codon) for a particular amino acid; and 'wobble' base-pairing, i.e. permitting non-standard base-pairing at the 3rd anti-codon position. Lineage: Bacteria; Pseudomonadati; Acidobacteriota; Vicinamibacteria; Vicinamibacterales; Vicinamibacteraceae. The record is from RNAcentral. RNAcentral also lists the same sequence under 2 other names.
CGGGAUGUAGCGCAGCCUGGUAGCGCACUUGACUGGGGGUCAAGGGGUCGCAGGUUCGAAUCCUGUCAUCCCGACCA